GCGAGAGUGAACGGUGGCGGCUACGGUAGUAACAACGCGACAACACACGGUGGAGGCACUGGGCUCGUUGUGUGGGGAUUGAGGAUGACCUUAGCUCUCACAGCUGACCGGCUGCGUACGUACUGUACUUCACGCUCGGUCAUAUCUGAACACAAAACAUCGAACGCCGUGUUGCCUCUCAGCGCGCGUGCGUGGUUCGUUGCACACGCGGGCGAGUGUAAACGACACACACGUCCAUCCACGUGCAUUAUCGAAGAAACGAGCGUGGCUGGUGAAACGAUAACGCGAGAAACUAACAUGGCGAUUAGUGUGGCGAGCAGGAACGUCAUUCACCAGCCCAUGUUCGAAAUUCCAUCGAUCAAUCUAGUCCUUUCCAAGAUAAGGGGUUCGGAUGGUCUGCAUAUUAAUUGCUGGGGGGGGGGGGGGGGGGGGUACUCGAAGCUUGUUCAAUCAAAAGUUGUA
Athalia rosae (coleseed sawfly) is the source of this 462-nucleotide long non-coding RNA. RefSeq lists it as uncharacterized. The record is from RefSeq and is a predicted model, not a curated record. NCBI's taxonomy places the organism in Eukaryota, Metazoa, Arthropoda, Insecta, Hymenoptera, Athaliidae. The transcript has 2 exons.